AUGCUUGUCUCAAAGAUUAAGCCAUGCAUGUCUAAGUAUAAGCAAUUAUACCGUGAAACUGCGAAUGGCUCAUUAAAUCAGUUAUCGUUUAUUUGAUAAUACCUUACUACUUGGAUAACCGUGGUAAUUCUAGAGCUAAUACAUGCUGAAAAUCCCGACUUCGGAAGGGAUGUGUUUAUUAGAUAAAAAACCAAUGCCCUUCGGGGCUUUUUGGUGAUUCAUGAUAACUUUACGGAUCGCAUAGCCUUGCGCUGGCGACGGUUCAUUCAAAUUUCUGCCCUAUCAACUUUCGAUGGUAAGGUAUUGGCUUACCAUGGUUUCAACGGGUAACGGGGAAUA
This 339-nucleotide ribosomal RNA is filed under the name uncultured fungus. RNAcentral describes it as "SSU rRNA". It matches the Rfam family "Eukaryotic small subunit ribosomal RNA", at positions 28 to 371 of the family's 1831-position model. The record is from RNAcentral. Lineage: Eukaryota; Fungi.